GACGAACGCUGGCGGCGUGCCUAAUACAUGCAAGUAGAACGCAGUUGCGAACGGGUGAGUAACGCGUAGGUAACUGCCUGGUAGCGGGGGAUAACUAUUGGAAGCGAUAGCUAAUACCGCAUCCUUCCAGAUGGACCUGCGUUGUAAUAGUUAGUUGGUGGGGUAACGGGUCACCAGGGCAACGAUACAUAGCCGACCUGAGGGGGUGAUCGGCAACACUGGGACUGAGGCACGGCCCAAGACCCGACGGGAGGCAGCAGGAGGGAAUCAUCGGCAAUGGACGGAAGUCUGACCGCGCAACGGCGGGGGAGUGGAGAAGGGUUUCGGAACGUAAAGCUCUGUUGUAAGAGAAGCGGUAUCUUACCAGAAAGGGACGGCUAACUACGUGCCAGCAGCCGCGGUAAUUC
This 407-nucleotide ribosomal RNA is filed under the name uncultured bacterium. RNAcentral describes it as "partial 16S ribosomal RNA". It matches the Rfam family "Bacterial small subunit ribosomal RNA", at positions 28 to 526 of the family's 1533-position model. The record is from RNAcentral.